UACAGAGGUCUCAAGCGUUGUUCGGAUUCAUUGGGCGUAAAGGGUGCGUAGGUGGCGCGGUAAGUCGGGUGUGAAAUUUCGGAGCUUAACUCCGAAACUGCAUUCGAUACUGCCGUGCUUGAGGACUGGAGAGGAGACUGGAAUUUACGGUGUAGCAGUGAAAUGCGUAGAGAUCGUAAGGAAGACCAGUGGCGAAGGCGAGUCUCUGGACAUUUCCUGACGCUGAGGCACGAAAGCCAGGGGAGCAAACGGG
Molecule: ribosomal RNA, 253 nt
Filed under: uncultured bacterium
Lineage: Bacteria
Description: partial 16S ribosomal RNA
Rfam family: Bacterial small subunit ribosomal RNA
Source: RNAcentral